RNAcentral lists this ribosomal RNA (406 nucleotides) under uncultured bacterium. Its description in RNAcentral is "partial 16S ribosomal RNA". It matches the Rfam family "Bacterial small subunit ribosomal RNA", at positions 29 to 526 of the family's 1533-position model. The record is from RNAcentral.
AUUGAACGCUGGCGGCAGGCCUAACACAUGCAAGUCGAACGAGUGGCGGACGGGUGCGUAAUGUCUGGGAAACUGCCCGAUGGAGGGGGAUAACUACUGGAAACGGUAGCUAAUACCGCAUACCAUCGGAUGUGCCCAGAUGGGAUUAGCUUGUAGGUGAGGUAACGGCGCACCUCGGCGACGAUCCCUAGCUGGUCUGAGAGGAUGACCAGCCACACUGGAAAUGAGACACGGUCCAGACUCCGACGGGAGGCAGCAGUGGGGAAUAUGGCAAAAUGGGCGCAAGCCUGAUGCAGCCAUGCAGCGGGUAUGAAGAAGGCCGGCGGGUUGUAAAGUACUUUCAGCUGGGAGGCGUUACCCGCAGAAGAAGCACCGGCUAACUCCGUGCCAGCAGCCGCGGUAAUAC